UCUCAGAAUUGCCUUUUCUCCUUGAACCUUUCUGCUUUCUCAAGUGACAAGACUCCUCACAGCCAGAAGAGCGUGAGCGAGCCCUCCUUCUAGUCCCCUUCACACCCUUACGAGUGUAAGACCUAGACGGAGACCUUCUACCUUAGUAACUAUCCUCAGAAGUGGAGGAAAUGGAUACUGAACUUCUUGAAUCAUAGCUAGAAUAAGAAACUGAAUCAUCACACCGCCGAAGCUUCUUUGAUAAACUUUUCCUAGUCUUACUUCUCUUCUGUGUACGACCCUAAAUGAACAAUAUACUGUUCAUGGUGCAUAAAUAAAUGGCAUUAAGACUACAAAAAAUUCAGAAUCCAUGUUUAGGUAAAUUUGCCAAAUGCUCUUUUUUCCAUCAUUAUAAGUUAAAAAAUAAA
This 407-nucleotide unclassified non-coding RNA is filed under the name Hevea brasiliensis (rubber tree). Lineage: Eukaryota; Viridiplantae; Streptophyta; Magnoliopsida; Malpighiales; Euphorbiaceae. The record is from RNAcentral.